Xyrichtys novacula (pearly razorfish) is the source of this 111-nucleotide non-coding RNA. NCBI's taxonomy places the organism in Eukaryota, Metazoa, Chordata, Actinopteri, Labriformes, Labridae. The record is from the annotation of a GenBank genome assembly.
GAAGUGGAAGGAAGGCGCAGACUUUGAGAGGGAAAUGAUGAUCCUGAUACCAACUAUCAAUUUCUAAAGAUCAUCAUUUCCCUCUCAAAGUCCGCGCCUUCCUCUCACUUC